This 434-nucleotide ribosomal RNA is filed under the name uncultured maize root bacterium Zmrc160. RNAcentral describes it as "bacterial SSU rRNA". It matches the Rfam family "Bacterial small subunit ribosomal RNA", at positions 1026 to 1462 of the family's 1533-position model. The record is from RNAcentral.
ACAGAGUGACAGGUGGUGCAUGGUUGUCGUCAGCUCGUGUCGUGAGAUGUUGGGUUAAGUCCGCAACGAGCGCAACCCUUGAUCUUAGUUGCCAGCAUUUAGUUGGGCACUCUAAGGUGACUGCCGGUGACAAACCGGAGGAAGGUGGGGAUGACGUCAAAUCAUCAUGCCCCUUAUGACCUGGGCUACACACGUGCUACAAUGGAUGGUACAAAGGGCUGCAAGACCACGAGGUCAAGCCAAUCCCAUAAAACCAUUCUCAGUUCGGAUUGUAGGCUGCAACUCGCCUACAUGAAGCUGGAAUCGCUAGUAAUCGCGGAUCAGCAUGCCGCGGUGAAUACGUUCCCGGGCCUUGUACACACCGCCCGUCACACCACGAGAGUUUGUAACACCCGAAGUCGGUGGAGUAACCGUAAGGAGCUAGCCGCCUAAGG